CCUACGGGAGGCAGCAGUGAGGAAUAUUGGUCAAUGGGCGAGAGCCUGAACCAGCCAAGUAGCGUGAGGGAAGACGGCCCUACGGAUUGUAAACCUCUUUUGUCAGGGAGCAAGGAGCGCCACGAGUGGUGCUGUGAGAGUACCUGAUGAAAAAGCACCGGCUAACUCCGUGCCAGCAGCCGCGGUAAUACGGAGGAUCCGAGCGUUAUCCGGGUUUAUUGGGUUUAAAGGGUGCGUAGGCGGAAGCGGCAGGUCAGCGGUAAAAUUGCGGGGCUCAACCUGGCCGCGCAGUGGAAACUGGUCUUCUAGAGUGGGCGGGAGGUAUGCGGAAUGCGUGGUGUAGCGGUGAAAUGCAUAGAUAGCACGAAGAACUCCGAGUGCGAAGGCAGCAUGCCGGCGCGCAACUGACGCUCAUGCACGAAAGUGUGGGUAUCGAACAGGAUUAGAUACCCCAGUAGUC
Molecule: ribosomal RNA, 460 nt
Filed under: uncultured bacterium
Lineage: Bacteria
Description: partial 16S ribosomal RNA
Rfam family: Bacterial small subunit ribosomal RNA
Source: RNAcentral